GAUCGCAAUGACGUCUUGCAAAAUUCAAGCUCAACAGACCGGAAUGCAGGCUUAUCUCUCUUCAGAGAUCUGUUUGCGUGUCGAUAUUCCCGCUGAACUGAGCGAUCUUCUCUUUUCAUUUUUCAAUCCAUCGAUUUUCGAUUCUAUUAGCGUUUUUUAUAAUUAUUAAUUUGUUUAUUUGGUUGAUGUUUGUGGGAAUUGCGACGAGGAUACAAAGCUCCCUCUUCUGAAUUAGACUGAGGAAACUCUGCUGGCAGAAUCGAACCAAUUUUAUAAUCAUGCCAUCUGAGCAGUUUCUUCCCCACAUCCAUCAAUAGUUUUUAUUAUUAAUGUUUUGUUAAUACGUUAGAUAGAUUGCAGUGAUGACCUCAGAAAAAUUCAAGCUCAACAGACCGGAAUGCAGGAUUCUUAACUGAGUUUUGCGUGUCGAUAACCCGCUCACUGAGCAGUC
This 451-nucleotide long non-coding RNA is filed under the name Helianthus annuus (common sunflower). RNAcentral describes it as "hypothetical non coding rna". The stretch from base 1 to 107 matches the Rfam family "Small nucleolar RNA Z107/R87". The record is from RNAcentral. Lineage: Eukaryota; Viridiplantae; Streptophyta; Magnoliopsida; Asterales; Asteraceae.